CCUUUAUUUAUAUCCAGGCGGGUCUGCCCACAAAUAAGUAUCUGGCAUGAUGACAUCAUUGCGCCAACCCCAUCACAUACACCCCGUACAAAUAUAGGUGUAUGUGACAAGGUUGGCGCCAUAAUGUACUUAUGUGGACCAGUCACACAUGUGUAGAAACCAGCUACUGUGUAGAGAGCAGCUGCUGUGUUGAAAGCAGUAGUAUUGAAGGUAAAAUGACACUUCAUGAAUUCUAACUACUGGGUAAAUGUAAAAUCAUUACUGUAAAAUCAUCAACUGCUGCAAAAAAAAAAAAUUGUACUAUGGGAACUUAAUCUGGAUGCUGAUCAGUCUUUUUAUAUUCAGCUGUGGUUGAUGUGAAUACUGGCCCUUUGUGAUAGUAACAGCAAACCAUCCCAUAACAAUGGAUCGUGUAAAGAAGAAUGUUAAGAAAAGAAAAUAUAGUGAGGAUUUUUUACGGUAUGGUUUUACCUCAAUAAUUACAGCAGGAAUUGAGAAACCGCAAUGAGUUAUUUGUUGUGAAGUUCUAUCAGCUGAAUCUACGAAGCCAAACAAACUAAAAUGCCAUUUUGAUAGCAAGCAUCUGAGCUUUGCUGGCAAGGAUACCAAUUAUUUUAGAAGCAAAGCUGAUGGACUCAAGAAAGUCAGACUUGACACUGGUGGCAAGUACCACAA
This is a long non-coding RNA of Pipistrellus kuhlii (Kuhl's pipistrelle), 675 nucleotides long. RefSeq lists it as uncharacterized. NCBI's taxonomy places the organism in Eukaryota, Metazoa, Chordata, Mammalia, Chiroptera, Vespertilionidae. The record is from RefSeq and is a predicted model, not a curated record. The transcript is spliced from 2 exons.